GAAAGGGCGCACGGUGGAUGCCUUGACACUAGGAGUCGAUGAAGGACGGGACUAACGCCGAUAUGCUUCGGGGAGCUGUAAGUAAGCUUUGAUCCGAAGAUUUCCGAAUGGGGAAACCCACCAUACGUAAUGGUAUGGUAUCCUUAUCUGAAUACAUAGGGUAAGGAAGACAGACCCAGGGAACUGAAACAUCUAAGUACCUGGAGGAAGAGAAAGCAAAUGCGAUUUCCUGAGUAGCGGCGAGCGAAACGGAACAUAGCCCAAACCAAGAGGCUUGCCUCUUGGGGUUGUAGGACAUUCUAUACGGAGUUACAAAGGAACGAGGUAGACGAAGCGACCUGGAAAGGUCCGUCGUAGAGGGUAACAACCCCGUAGUCGAAACUUCGUUCUCUCUUGAAUGUAUCCUGAGUACGGCGGAACACGUGAAAUUCCGUCGGAAUCUGGGAGGACCAUCUCCCAAGGCUAAAUACUCCCUAGUGAUCGAUAGUGAACCAGUACCGUGAGGGAAAGGUGAAAAGCACCCCGGAAGGGGAGUGAAAGAGAUCCUGAAACCGUGUGCCUACAAAUAGUCAGAGCCCGUUAACGGGUGAUGGCGUGCCUUUUGUAGAAUGAACCGGCGAGUUACGAUCCCGUGCGAGGUUAAGCUGAAGAGGCGGAGCCGCAGCGAAAGCGAGUCUGAAUAGGGCGUUUAGUACGUGGUCGUAGACCCGAAACCAGGUGAUCUACCCAUGUCCAGGGUGAAGUUCAGGUAACACUGAAUGGAGGCCCGAACCCACGCACGUUGAAAAGUGCGGGGAUGAGGUGUGGGUAGCGGAGAAAUUCCAAUCGAACCUGGAGAUAGCUGGUUCUCCCCGAAAUAGCUUUAGGGCUAGCCUUAAGUGUAAGAGUCUUGGAGGUAGAGCACUGAUUGGACUAGGGGUCCUCAUCGGAUUACCGAAUUCAGUCAAACUCCGAAUGCCAAUGACUUAUCCUUAGGAGUCAGACUGCGAGUGAUAAGAUCCGUAGUCAAAAGGGAAACAGCCCAGACCGCCAGCUAAGGUCCCAAAGUGUGUAUUAAGUGGAAAAGGAUGUGGAGUUGCUUAGACAACUAGGAUGUUGGCUUAGAAGCAGCCACCAUUUAAAGAGUGCGUAAUAGCUCACUAGUCGAGUGACUCUGCGCCGAAAAUGUACCGGGGCUAAAUACACCACCGAAGCUGCGGAUUGAUACCAAUGGUAUCAGUGGUAGGGGAGCGUUCUAAGGACAGUGAAGUCAGACCGGAAGGACUGGUGGAGUGCUUAGAAGUGAGAAUGCCGGUAUGAGUAGCGAAAGACGGGUGAGAAUCCCGUCCACCGAAUGCCUAAGGUUUCCUGAGGAAGGCUCGUCCGCUCAGGGUUAGUCAGGACCUAAGCCGAGGCCGACAGGCGUAGGCGAUGGACAACAGGUUGAUAUUCCUGUACCACCUCUUUAUCGUUUGAGCAAUGGAGGGACGCAGAAGGAUAGAAGAAGCGUGCGAUUGGUUGUGCACGUCCAAGCAGUUAGGCUGAUAAGUAGGCAAAUCCGCUUAUCGUAAAGGCUGAGCUGUGAUGGGGAAGCUCCUUAUGGAGCGAAGUCUUUGAUUCCCCGCUGCCAAGAAAAGCUUCUAGCGAGAUAAAAGGUGCCUGUACCGCAAACCGACACAGGUAGGCGAGGAGAGAAUCCUAAGGUGUGCGAGAGAACUCUGGUUAAGGAACUCGGCAAAAUGACCCCGUAACUUCGGGAGAAGGGGUGCUUUCUUAACGGAAAGCCGCAGUGAAUAGGCCCAAGCGACUGUUUAGCAAAAACACAGCUCUCUGCGAAGCCGUAAGGCGAAGUAUAGGGGGUGACACCUGCCCGGUGCUGGAAGGUUAAGGAGAGGGGUUAGCGUAAGCGAAGCUCUGAACUGAAGCCCCAGUAAACGGCGGCCGUAACUAUAACGGUCCUAAGGUAGCGAAAUUCCUUGUCGGGUAAGUUCCGACCCGCACGAAAGGUGUAACGAUUUGGGCACUGUCUCAACCAGAGACUCGGUGAAAUUAUAGUACCUGUGAAGAUGCAGGUUACCCGCGACAGGACGGAAAGACCCCGUGGAGCUUUACUGUAGCCUGAUAUUGAAUUUUGGUACAGUUUGUACAGGAUAGGCGGGAGCCUUUGAAACCGGAGCGCUAGCUUCGGUGGAGGCGCUGGUGGGAUACCGCCCUGACUGUAUUGAAAUUCUAACCUACGGGUCUUAUCGACCCGGGAGACAGUGUCAGGUGGGCAGUUUGACUGGGGCGGUCGCCUCCUAAAGUGUAACGGAGGCGCCCAAAGGUUCCCUCAGAAUGGUUGGAAAUCAUUCGUAGAGUGCAAAGGCAUAAGGGAGCUUGACUGCGAGACCUACAAGUCGAGCAGGGACGAAAGUCGGGCUUAGUGAUCCGGUGGUUCCGCAUGGAAGGGCCAUCGCUCAACGGAUAAAAGCUACCCCGGGGAUAACAGGCUUAUCUCCCCCAAGAGUCCACAUCGACGGGGAGGUUUGGCACCUCGAUGUCGGCUCAUCGCAUCCUGGGGCUGUAGUCGGUCCCAAGGGUUGGGCUGUUCGCCCAUUAAAGCGGUACGCGAGCUGGGUUCAGAACGUCGUGAGACAGUUCGGUCCCUAUCCGUCGUGGGCGUAGGAAAUUUGAGAGGAGCUGUCCUUAGUACGAGAGGACCGGGAUGGACGCACCGCUGGUGUACCAGUUGUUCUGCCAAGGGCAUAGCUGGGUAGCUAUGUGCGGAAGGGAUAAGUGCUGAAAGCAUCUAAGCAUGAAGCCCCCCUCAAGAUGAGAUUUCCCAUAGCGUAAGCUAGUAAGAUCCCUGAAAGAUGAUCAGGUUGAUAGGUUCGAGGUGGAAGCAUGGUGACAUGUGGAGCUGACGAAUACUAAUAGAUCGAGGACUUAACC
This 2910-nucleotide ribosomal RNA is filed under the name Bacillus cereus. RNAcentral describes it as "bacterial LSU rRNA". It matches the Rfam family "Bacterial large subunit ribosomal RNA". Lineage: Bacteria; Bacillati; Bacillota; Bacilli; Caryophanales; Bacillaceae. The record is from RNAcentral.